UGGGGAAUAUUGCACAAUGGAGGGAACUCUGAUGCAGCGACGCCGCGUGAGUGAUGAAGGAAUUCGUUUCGUAAAACUCUGUUCUAUGGGAAGAAAAGGACUGUACCAUAGGAGAAAGCUCCGGCUAAAUACGUGCCAGCAGCCGCGGUAAUACGUAUGGAGCGAGCGUUGUCCGGAAUUAUUGGGCGUAAAGGGUGCGCAGGCGGCUUUACAAGUUGGAUGUGAAAUAUUGUGGCUCAACCACAAACGUGCAUCCAAAACUGCAAAGCUUGAGUUAAGGAGAGGUAAGUGGAAUUCCUGGUGUAGCGGUGGAAUGCGUAGAUAUCAGGAGGAAUACCGGUGGCGAAGGCGACUUACUGGACUUAAACUGACGCUCAGGCACGAAAGCGUGGGGGGCAAACAGG
Molecule: ribosomal RNA, 404 nt
Filed under: Fusobacteriota bacterium
Lineage: Bacteria; Fusobacteriati; Fusobacteriota
Description: Fusobacteria bacterium partial 16S ribosomal RNA
Rfam family: Bacterial small subunit ribosomal RNA
Source: RNAcentral